Molecule: transfer RNA, 72 nt
Filed under: Pangasianodon gigas (Mekong giant catfish)
Lineage: Eukaryota; Metazoa; Chordata; Actinopteri; Siluriformes; Pangasiidae
Description: tRNA-Gly
Rfam family: tRNA
About the family: Transfer RNA (tRNA) molecules are approximately 80 nucleotides in length. Their secondary structure includes four short double-helical elements and three loops (D, anti-codon, and T loops).
Source: RNAcentral
UCCCUGGAGGACUAGUGGUUAGGCCAUAGUGUUCCCACUGCUGCAGCCUGGGUUUGAUUCCCAGCCAGGGAA